UAGAGACUGCAAUUAGCGUCUCCUUUUCUUUCUGAAAACAUUUUCGGAAAAGUUAAUUUUAAAGUAGGGUAGAGCUUGAUCAGAGGUAUAACAACAUGCGGGAUUGGCUCGGGAAAACGAAACCCGAUUAGUUGGGCUUGUUCUGAUGAGGUAGAACGGUCUUCAUAGAGUUUGGAAACGUGGCCAGUAUUGCGCGCACAUAACUGGCCAUAACUAGUUUCGAUGGGGAACCAUAACCCGCUCCGUUGAAAUGUAAAGCAGACGUCUCUAGACGUGUCAAUUGCGAGUGCCUGGGACAAGACCGGACUACAGGAAAUUAAAAGGGCAAAGGUUUAUUUCUUGGUAACUCAUUUAACAAUGAGUUUACCUUCUUUAAGGUUAGGCCGGCUAUAACCGCCACUAUCGCCCUGACUAACACUGGAAAUUGUAGUUUAUAUCACUCAUACUAUAGUCUUUCAUCCCAGGGGUACUUCUACAUUGGGGUCUCACGGGAAUGCUCUUUGAAAGGUUUGGAAAGAUAAAAGGUAACAUCCACUGCAACAUGUGUACAGCUACCGCGGAGAACCAAAACAAAAGAAACUCGAAUUCUUGAAAUUUGGCUCAAGAACGUCUUGACAGACACGAAGAAGCCCGGCGAAGAAGUACCGUGAUAGUUGCAUGUACGCAAAUUUGAAAUGGAAUCACCUGGGCCGUACAAGGUUUUCAACUUGUAAUUCACGGUGUUAAACACACCGUCUGUCUGGCAAUGCCGUAUAACAUACGUUUUCCCUUUUCCCAUUUUGUGAGCCACUGAUCUAGGUAACCUUAGUUUAAUUGUUUUAAAAACUUUUUGUUUUACUUUUCUUGUACGAGCAAUGUCCUACGGACUGACAUGUUUGGCACUUUGCUGUUUCAGUUUAAUUCCGGAUAUCAAAACCAAAACAAAAAAUCCAGGUUGAGAACGACACUCCCUUUAAGUAGAGGAAGUCAUACCCUAACCAAACUUUUCCCAAUAAAACAGGAACUUGAAAUGAUAAUUUUCUUUCCUAGUAUACGAGAUAAUAUUUUUAUGACCCAUAUGUGUUGACAAACUGCGCGUAGAAAGACAAAUGGUGGAUUAAGUCAACUUAAUUAUUACUAGUGGCGCGCGACGCUGCCCUGUUCAAACACUCAUCGUUCUGUCACGAGGUAUGCGAUAAUUAAAGAAGGUUUGUUAAGCCAUAAGGAACGGAAAAGACUAAUGUGACGUAAAAAGGGCUGAAAUGGCGACAGAAACUCGAAGAACACCGGAAGUUAUUUUAGUUCAAGCGAGGAGGUGCACUUCUUCGUUUGCAAUUGAAUAGAAAGGCGUAAUUACUGGAACGCCAAAAUAUCGCGUUUAGUUUGAUAUGGCUGCAGGGCUGGCGCUACAGUUAAUGUUUUGACUUUGUCAACCCACGCCCUGACCAUUUUUGGUCACCGUUGAGAUUGUGUUACACGAAUUUGUCGUUCACAGUUCAUGCACCCAGUCGCAUUGACGUCAUCGCUGACCGGAAGCACUCGCGUUGAAAUAAGCUUGAACGCGGUGUGUCUUGUCAGUAUGACCUCGUGGCGCUUAGCAAUCCAUUCGUACUCGCAACUCGAGAAACAAGUCGCUAAAUCUCCUGAACGACCUUGAAAGCUAGAGACGAAAGGUACUUUAAACUGAAACCAAUAAAAUAUGGCAAAAAGAAAGUUGUUGGUAAUCUGUCUGAUUGCGUUGGAGCUGGUGGACAUGGCUGUAUCGGCUAAAAAAGUGAAAUAUUUGGACAACCUUUUAUGUAAAACGUACGAGACCGUGGUUCCUGUAGAUCCCUCCAAUCACGGUUAUUACCCGUUUUUUGUCAAGCUCCAUCGCUGCGCCGGCUCGGCGAGCACAGUUUCUCCAAAAGUGCAGCAUUGUGUGGCCCACAGCUACGACGAAUUAAGCAUUCAAGUUUUUUCGCACUCGUCCAACUUUCGGUCAACCACCAUUACGAUGAAGAAUCACACAAGCUGUGCUCAUGAAUGCGUCACCAGUCCGGAUGAGUGCAAUUUUGCCGUAGAGGACUGGGACGAUCAACACUGUACGUGCAAGUGCAGAUACCCUGAUGGACCGCCAGAAGAAUUCGCCUGCAAGGAUGGCUUUAGGUAGGUCCUUGAAUGGUUUAAUUAAUCUUACAAGGAUUCGGUUUGGUGUUCGACGUCUAGCAGCUCAGCAGGUCGGUUUCCAAAUCAGGUGUCCGUAGAGAGGCGGCUGAAGGUGUUGCCUCUCUCUCUGGAAGGGGUCUAACAGGGGAUCGAGUUAUUAGUUAUUAGGGGCGCGAUACGCGCGAGAUACGAGUCUGGGCCCACGCGCGCGGUCUCACUCGCGAAUCUCUACAACUCACUCCGUAUCAUUACUAGAGUGCUGCCUCUUCAAGCUAGACGUGAUCCAUCGCUAGUUAUUUCCUAAUAUUUUGUCAGGUUGCCCCAACAAUUCAUUGGUACGCCAUACCGAAGUAC
Molecule: unclassified non-coding RNA, 2481 nt
Filed under: Orbicella faveolata
Lineage: Eukaryota; Metazoa; Cnidaria; Anthozoa; Scleractinia; Merulinidae
Description: uncharacterized LOC110061819, transcript variant X1
Source: RNAcentral